RNAcentral lists this ribosomal RNA (346 nucleotides) under uncultured bacterium. RNAcentral describes it as "bacterial SSU rRNA". It matches the Rfam family "Bacterial small subunit ribosomal RNA", at positions 8 to 334 of the family's 1533-position model. The record is from RNAcentral.
AGGGUUUGAUCCUGGCUCAGGAUGAACGCUGGCGGCGUGCUUAACACAUGCAAGUCGAGCGAAGCACUUUACUUGGAUUUCUUCGGAAUGACGAGUAUUGUGACUGAGCGGCGGACGGGUGAGUAACGCGUGGGUAACCUGCCUCAUACAGGGGGAUAACAGUUAGAAAUGACUGCUAAUACCGCAUAAGACCACAGCACCGCAUGGUGCAGGGGUAAAAACUCCGGUGGUAUGAGAUGGACCCGCGUCUGAUUAGCUGGUUGGUGGGGUAACGGCCUACCAAGGCGACGAUCAGUAGCCGGCCUGAGAGGGCGACCGGCCACAUUGGGACUGAGACACGGCCCAA